UUGUUUCUAGUUUAUUUAGAAUUUUGGCUUGUCGUGCCAAGGGAGUAUACUUUGUUUACGAAGCAAG
RNAcentral lists this transfer RNA (67 nucleotides) under Echinostoma caproni. RNAcentral's name for it is "tRNA-Asp". The record is from RNAcentral. Lineage: Eukaryota; Metazoa; Platyhelminthes; Trematoda; Plagiorchiida; Echinostomatidae.